CCUACGGGAGGCAGCAGUGAGGAAUAUUGGUCAAUGGGCUGACGCCUGAACCAGCCAAGUCGCGUGAGGGAAGAAUGCCCUAUGGGUUGUAAACCUCUUUUGUCAGGGAGCAAAGCCGGCUACGUGUAGCCGGACUGAGAGUACCUGAAGACAAAGCAUCGGCUAACUCCGUGCCCGCAGCCGCGGUAAUACGGAGGAUGCGAGCGUUAUCCGGAUUUUUUGGGUUUAAAGGGUGCGUAGGCGGAAUGCCAAGUCAGCGGUAAAAUCGCGGGGCGCCACCUCGGUCGGGUGUUGAAACUGGCGUUCUUGAUUGGGAGAGAAGUAGGCGGAAUGCGGGGUGUAGCGGUGAAAUGCAUAGAUAUCACGCAGAACUCCGAGUGCGAAGGCAGCAUACCGGCGCCCCACUGACGCUGAAGCACGAAAGAGUGGGUAUCGAACAGGAUUAGAUACCCUAGUAGUC
This 460-nucleotide ribosomal RNA is filed under the name uncultured bacterium. RNAcentral's name for it is "partial 16S ribosomal RNA". It matches the Rfam family "Bacterial small subunit ribosomal RNA", at positions 338 to 795 of the family's 1533-position model. The record is from RNAcentral.